Callithrix jacchus (white-tufted-ear marmoset) is the source of this 285-nucleotide unclassified non-coding RNA. It matches the Rfam family "Metazoan signal recognition particle RNA". From Rfam's summary of the family: The signal recognition particle (SRP) is a universally conserved ribonucleoprotein. It is involved in the co-translational targeting of proteins to membranes. NCBI's taxonomy places the organism in Eukaryota, Metazoa, Chordata, Mammalia, Primates, Cebidae. The record is from Ensembl.
GCUGGGGGCACAGUGGCCCUUGCCUGUAGUCCCAGCUACUAGGGAGGCUGAGGCUGGAGGAUCGUUUGAGCCCAGGAGUUCUGGGCUGUAAUGCGCUAUGCCGAUCAGGUGUCCACACUGAGUUCAGCAUCAAUAUGGUGACCUACCAGGUUGCAUAAGGAGGGGUAAACCAGCCCAGGUCGGAAACGGAGCAGGUCAAAACUCCCAUGCUGAUCAGUAGUGGGAUAGCACCUGUGAAUAGCCACUGCACUCCAGCCUGGGCAACAUAGUGAGACCCUGUCUCUU